RNAcentral lists this ribosomal RNA (200 nucleotides) under uncultured organism. Its description in RNAcentral is "partial small subunit ribosomal RNA". It matches the Rfam family "Bacterial small subunit ribosomal RNA", at positions 1183 to 1382 of the family's 1533-position model. The record is from RNAcentral.
CGUCAAGUCAUCAUGGCCCUUAUGACCAGGGCUACACACGUGCUACAAUGGCCAGUACAAAGGGUCGCCAACCCGCGAGGGGGAGCCAAUCCCAUAAAGCUGGUCGUAGUCCGGAUCGCAGUCUGCAACUCGACUCCAUGAAGCCGGAGUUGCUAGUAAUCCCGGAUCAGCACGCCGGGGUGAAUACGUUCCCGGGCCUU